Molecule: ribosomal RNA, 253 nt
Filed under: uncultured bacterium
Lineage: Bacteria
Description: partial 16S ribosomal RNA
Rfam family: Bacterial small subunit ribosomal RNA
Source: RNAcentral
UACGUAGGGGGCAAGCGUUGUCCGGAAUCAUUGGGCGUAAAGCGCGCGUAGGCGGCCAGAUUAGUCCGGUGUGAAAGUCAGAGGCUCAACCUUUGAAUGCCGCUGGAAACUGUCUGGCUUGAGUCCGGAAGGGGCGAGUGGAAUUCCUGGUGUAGCGGUGAAAUGCGCAGAUAUCAGGAGGAACACCGGUGGCGAAGGCGGGUCUCUGGGCAGUAACUGACGCUGAGGAGCGAAAGCGUGGGGAGCGAACAUG